Molecule: ribosomal RNA, 868 nt
Filed under: uncultured archaeon
Lineage: Archaea
Description: bacterial SSU rRNA
Rfam family: Archaeal small subunit ribosomal RNA
Source: RNAcentral
CUCCGGUUGAUCCCGCCGGACCCGACUGCUAUCAGAGUGGGACUAAGCCAUGCGAGUCAACGCAGCAAUGCGUGGCAUACGGCUCAGUAACACGUAGUCAACAUGCCCAGGGGACGUGGAUAACCUCGGGAAACUGAGGAUAAACCGCGAUAGGCCAAGAUUUCUGGAAUGGAUAAUGGCUGAAAUCUAUAUGGCCCCUGGAUUGGACUGCGGCCGAUCAGGCUGUUGGUGAGGUAAUGGCCCACCAAACCUGUAACCGGUACGGGCUCUGAGAGGAGGAGCCCGGAGAUGGGCACUGAGACAAGGGCCCAGGCCCUAUGGGGCGCAGCAGGCGCGAAACCUCUGCAAUAGGCGAAAGCUUGACAGGGUUACUCUGAGUGAUGUCCGUUAAGGGCAUCUUUUGGCACUUCUAAAAAUAGUGUAGAAUAAGGGGUGGGCAAGUCUGGUGUCAGCCGCCGCGGUAAUACCAGCACCCCGAGUGGUCGGGACGAUUAUUGGGCCUAAAGCAUCCGUAGCCGGUUCUGCAAGUCUUCCGUUAAAUCCACCUGCUCAACAGAUGGGCUGCGGAGGAUACUACAGGGCUAGGAGGCGGGAGAGGCAAGCGGUACUCAGUGGGUAGGGGUAAAAUCCUCUGAUCCACUGAAGACCACCAGUGGCGAAGGCGGCUUGCCAGAACGCGCUCGACGGUGAGGGAUGAAAGCUGGGGGAGCAAACCGGAUUAGAUACCCGGGUAGUCCCAGCUGUAAACGAUGCAGACUCGGUGAUGGGUUGGCUUCGAGCCAACCCAGUGCCGCAGGGAAGCCGUUAAGUCUGCCGCCUGGGGAGUACGGUCGCAAGACUGAAACUUAAAGGAAUUGGCGGGGGAGCA